AGCAUGAAGUGAAGAGGCCGAUGCGGGACAGGGAGAACAAGAACUCCUGCGACUGAUAGAGAGGAUGCCAACGCCAUGAAGCGGCUUGAGCCAAUGUUGAUGAGGCUUCACGCUUAGAACUAAUGCAUCACAAGGCUAAAGGAUUGGCUCGGCCAUAUUGGAGUUCAGGUAUCCUACCUUGAAAUCCAUAACUCAAGAAGGUAGCUAUAAUUCCUAAUCAGUGAAAGUUUGUUUCCGAUUUAAUUAUCAUCAAUCUUUUGACUAAAUGCCUAUAAAACGAGAAGAGCAAGGCAAAUCAGGAUUUUCUGUUAUGGUUUCCCUGACUGAGACAAAUUUACUAAUCUGUUAGCAAACCUGAUAUUUGUAGAAAUACCUUCUAGCAUAAAUAAAAUUGCUGGUAUAGACCAUGAGGCACACACCUACUGAACAGUUUGUAUCACUUGUGGAAU
This is a long non-coding RNA of Lolium rigidum, 449 nucleotides long. RefSeq lists it as uncharacterized. NCBI's taxonomy places the organism in Eukaryota, Viridiplantae, Streptophyta, Magnoliopsida, Poales, Poaceae. The record is from RefSeq and is a predicted model, not a curated record. The transcript is spliced from 3 exons.